UUUCUUUCUAUGAUUGAUCCAUUUUUGUCUUCCAAUUCCACAAGGCCUCCGGUUAAUCUUCCGGCGGAUCAGAGCGGUGCUGAGGAGAAGACAUCUUUGGCAUCGGUUGUGGAUUCAUGGAGAUCAGAUUUGAAGUUUGUUGAGGUUCCCGAUUAAGCUACCAUCAUGUUUCCGAAGAAAAUUAUUGAGAAAAGGGUGAAACGCCUGCGCUCGGCGGUGGUUG
RNAcentral lists this long non-coding RNA (223 nucleotides) under Linum usitatissimum (flax). RNAcentral describes it as "long non-coding RNA (LUSI_LNC004210)". The record is from RNAcentral. Lineage: Eukaryota; Viridiplantae; Streptophyta; Magnoliopsida; Malpighiales; Linaceae.